ACAAGCGUGGAGCAUGUGGUUUAAUUCGACGCAACGCGAAGAACUUACCAGGAAUUGACAUCCCCUGACAACUUAUGAAAGUAGGUCUUCUACCUUCGGGUAGGACAGGGAGGACAGGUGGUGCAUGGUUGUCGUCAGCUCGUGUCGUGAGAUGUUGGGUUAAGUCCCGCAACGAGCGCAACCCUUACGGUUAGUUGCCAGCGGUUAAAGCCGGGCACUCUAGCUGAACUGCCGUUGACAAACGGAGGAAGGUGGGGAUGACGUCAAAUCAUCAUGCCCUUUAUAUCCUGGGCUACACACGUGCUACAAUGGCCUGUACAGAGGGCAGCGAAGGGGCAACCUGGAGCGAAUCCCAAAAAGCAGGUCUCAGUUCGGAUUGCAGGCUGCAACUCGCCUGCAUGAAGUCGGAAUCGCUAGUAAUCGCAGGUCAGCAUACUGCGGUGAAUACGUUCCCGGGCCUU
This 461-nucleotide ribosomal RNA is filed under the name uncultured Desulfotomaculum sp. RNAcentral describes it as "bacterial SSU rRNA". It matches the Rfam family "Bacterial small subunit ribosomal RNA", at positions 925 to 1382 of the family's 1533-position model. The record is from RNAcentral. Lineage: Bacteria; Bacillati; Bacillota; Clostridia; Eubacteriales; Desulfotomaculaceae.